AGAACGAACGCUGGUAGCGUGGAUUAGGCAUGCAAGUCGAACGGGAUCCGGAAGGCAGCAAUGUCGGCGGUGAGAGUGGCGGAAGGGCGAGGAACACGUGGGCAACCUGUCUUGAGGUGGGGAAAACCUCGGGAAACUGAGGCUAAUACCGAAUGUGGCGCGGAAGGGCAUCCUUCCUGGCGCUAAAGGGGGCGAAAGCUCCCCCUCUUCGAGGGGCUCGCGCACCAUCAGCUAGUUGGCGGGUAACGGCCCACCAAGGCUCACGGUUAGCUGGUCUGAGAGGAUGGCCAGCCGCACUGGGACUGAGAUACUGCCCAGACUCCUACGGGAGGCUGCAGUCGAGGAUCAUUCGCAAUGGGCGAAAGCCUGACGAUGCGACGCUGCGUGGAGGAAUGAAGGCCUUCGGGUUGUAAACUCCUGUCAUGAGGGAAAAGGAGACCCUGCCCAAUACGCAGGGGAUUUGAUGGUACCUCAAGAGGAAGGGACGGCUAACUCUGUGCCAGCAGCCGC
RNAcentral lists this ribosomal RNA (510 nucleotides) under uncultured bacterium. Its description in RNAcentral is "bacterial SSU rRNA". It matches the Rfam family "Bacterial small subunit ribosomal RNA", at positions 26 to 518 of the family's 1533-position model. The record is from RNAcentral.